This 376-nucleotide ribosomal RNA is filed under the name Theileria luwenshuni. Its description in RNAcentral is "SSU rRNA". It matches the Rfam family "Eukaryotic small subunit ribosomal RNA", at positions 483 to 893 of the family's 1831-position model. Lineage: Eukaryota; Apicomplexa; Aconoidasida; Piroplasmida; Theileriidae. The record is from RNAcentral.
AAAAAGGGGGGGCAUUAUGUCUUGUAUUGGAAUGAUGGGAAUUUAAACCUCUUCCAGAGUAUCAAUUGGAGGGCAAGUCUGGUGCCAGCAGCCGCGGUAAUUCCAGCUCCAAUAGCGUAUAUUAAAAUUGUUGCAGUUAAAAAGCUCGUAGUUGAAUUUCUGCUGCAUUGCAUCUUCUUUUUGAUGAGUUGGUGUAUUGUGGCUUAUUUCGGAUGAUACUUGUAUUAUCCGGAUGAUUACUUUGAGAAAAUUAGAGUGCUCAAAGCAGGCUUUUGCCUUGAAUAGUUUAGCAUGGAAUAAUAAAGUAGGACUUUGGUUCUAUUUUGUUGGUUUUAGGUACCAAAGUAAUGGUUAAUAGGAGCAGUUGGGAGUGUCA